AAACCAACAGGGAUUGCCUUAGUAACGGCGAGUGAAGCGGCAAAAGCUCAAAUUUGAAAGCUAGCACCUUCGGUGUUCGCGUUGUAAUUUGAAGAUAGUUUCCUUGAGUAGUCCUUUAUCUAUGUUCCUUGGAACAGGACGUCAUAGAGGGUGAGAACCCCGUAUGAUUUUGGAUACUACUCUUUGUGGGAUUCUAUCGAAGAGUCGAGUUGUUUGGGAAUGCAGCUCUAAGUGGGUGGUAAAUUCCAUCUAAAGCUAAAUAUUGGCAAGAGACCGAUAGCGAACAAGUACAGUGAUGGAAAGAUGAAAAGAACUCUGAAGAGAGAGUGAAAAAGUACGUGAAAUUGCUGAAAGGGAAGGGCUUGAGGUCAGACUUGGUGUUUAAUGAUUAUCAGUUCUUCUUGGACUGUGCACUCGUUUUUCACCGGGCCAAUAUCAGUUUUAGCGGUAGAGUACCCCUUGAAAUGUGGCUUCCUUCGGGGAGUGUUAUAGUCUUGGGGAGAUCUACUUGCUGGGACUGAGGACUGCGCUUCGGCAAGGAUAUUGGCGUAAUGACCUUAAGC
Molecule: ribosomal RNA, 563 nt
Filed under: Saccharomycopsis fibuligera
Lineage: Eukaryota; Fungi; Ascomycota; Saccharomycetes; Ascoideales; Saccharomycopsidaceae
Description: partial large subunit ribosomal RNA
Rfam family: Eukaryotic large subunit ribosomal RNA
Source: RNAcentral